Molecule: ribosomal RNA, 459 nt
Filed under: uncultured bacterium
Lineage: Bacteria
Description: bacterial SSU rRNA
Rfam family: Bacterial small subunit ribosomal RNA
Source: RNAcentral
GCGUCCGUGGAACGAGCGGCGGAUGGGUGAGUAUCACGUGGGCAACCUGCCUGGUAAGAUUGGGAUAACUCGCGGAAACGUGAGCCGUAAUACCGGAAUGAAGUCUUUCACCGCCUGGUGAAAGGAUGAAAGAUGGCUCUUGAGCUAUCACUUACAGAUGGGCCCGCGGCGCAUUAGCUAGUUGGUGGGGUAAAGGCCUACAAGGCGACGAUGCGUAGCCGACCUGAGAGGGUGAUCGGCCACACUGGGACUGAGACACGGCCCAGACUCCUACGGGAGGCAGCAGUAGGGAAUCUUCCGCAAUGGACGAAAGUCUGACGGAGCAACGCCGCGUGAGUGAAUGAAGGUCUUCGGAUCGUAAAACUCUGUUGUCAGGGAAGAACAAGUUGUGUUCUAACAGGACAUGACCUUGACGGUACCUGACCAGAAAGCCCCGGCUAACUACGUGCCAGCAGCUGC